RNAcentral lists this ribosomal RNA (763 nucleotides) under uncultured Sphingobacteriales bacterium. RNAcentral describes it as "bacterial SSU rRNA". It matches the Rfam family "Bacterial small subunit ribosomal RNA", at positions 8 to 771 of the family's 1533-position model. The record is from RNAcentral. Lineage: Bacteria; Pseudomonadati; Bacteroidota; Sphingobacteriia; Sphingobacteriales.
AGAGUUUGAUUAUGGCUCAGGAUGAACGCUAGCGGCAGGCCUAAUACAUGCAAGUCGAACGGAUCUAGGCAGCAAUGCUUAGAUUAGUGGCGCACGGGUGCGUAACGCGUAUGCAACCUACCUUUUAUUGGGGGAUAGCCCGAAGAAAUUCGGAUUAAUACCGCAUAACAUCAUGUGAGGGCAUCCGAAGAUGAUGAAAGCUGAGGCGAUAAAAGAUGGGCAUGCGUGUCAUUAGCUAGUUGGUUGAGGUAACGGCUCACCAAGGCGACGAUGACUAGGGGUUCUGAGAGGAUGAUCCCCCACACUGGUACUGAGAUACGGACCAGACUCCUACGGGAGGCAGCAGUAGGGAAUAUUGGGCAAUGGCGGAAACGCUGACCCAGCCAUGCCGCGUGCCGGAUGAAGGCCUUCUGGGUUGUAAACGGCUUUUACCAGGGAAGAACCUACCUUUGCGAAGGGAACUGACGGUACCUGGUGAAUAAGCACCGGCUAACUCCGUGCCAGCAGCCGCGGUAAUACGGAGGGUGCAAGCGUUGUCCGGAUUUAUUGGGUUUAAAGGGUGCGUAGGCGGCUUGGUAAGUCCGUGGUGAAAGCCUCUAGCUCAACUAGAGAACUGCCAUGGAUACUGCCAGGCUUGAGUACAGACGAGGUAGGCGGAAUGGAUCGUGUAGCGGUGAAAUGCAUAGAUACGAUCCAGAACACCGAUUGCGUAGGCAGCUUACUAGGCUGUAACUGACGUUGAGCACGAAAGCGUGGGGAGCGA